GGUUAAGCGACUAAGCGUACACGGUGGAUGCCCUGGCAGUCAGAGGCGAUGAAGGGCGUGCUAAUCUGCGAUAAGCGCCGGUAAGGUGAUAUGAACCGUUAUAACCGGCGAUACCCGAAUGGGGAAACCCAGUGUGACUCGUCACACUAUCAUUAACUGAAUCCAUAGGUUAAUGAGGCGAACCGGGGGAACUGAAACAUCUAAGUACCCCGAGGAAAAGAAAUCAACCGAGAUUCCCCCAGUAGCGGCGAGCGAACGGGGAGGAGCCCAGAGCCUGAAUCAGCAUGUGUGUUAGUGGAAGCGUCUGGAAAGGCGCGCGAUACAGGGUGACAGCCCCGUACACAAAAGCGCAUGUGCUGUGAGCUCGAUGAGUAGGGCGGGACACGUGGUAUCCUGUCUGAAUAUGGGGGGACCAUCCUCCAAGGCUAAAUACUCCUGACUGACCGAUAGUGAACCAGUACCGUGAGGGAAAGGCGAAAAGAACCCCGGCGAGGGGAGUGAAAAAGAACCUGAAACCGUGUACGUACAAGCAGUGGGAGCACAGGUUUACCUGUGUGACUGCGUACCUUUUGUAUAAUGGGUCAGCGACUUAUAUUCUGUAGCAAGGUUAACCGUAUAGGGGAGCCGGAGGGAAACCGAGUCUUAACCGGGCGUUAAGUUGCAGGGUAUAGACCCGAAACCCGGUGAUCUAGCCAUGGGCAGGUUGAAGGUUGGGUAACACUAACUGGAGGACCGAACCGACUAAUGUUGAAAAAUUAGCGGAUGACCUGUGGCUGGGGGUGAAAGGCCAAUCAAACCGGGAGAUAGCUGGUUCUCCCCGAAAGCUAUUUAGGUAGCGCCUCGUGAA
RNAcentral lists this ribosomal RNA (847 nucleotides) under Salmonella enterica subsp. enterica serovar Muenchen. RNAcentral's name for it is "partial 23S ribosomal RNA". It matches the Rfam family "Bacterial large subunit ribosomal RNA", at positions 1 to 888 of the family's 2925-position model. The record is from RNAcentral. Lineage: Bacteria; Pseudomonadati; Pseudomonadota; Gammaproteobacteria; Enterobacterales; Enterobacteriaceae. RNAcentral also lists the same sequence under 1 other name.